Molecule: ribosomal RNA, 274 nt
Filed under: uncultured bacterium
Lineage: Bacteria
Description: partial 16S ribosomal RNA
Rfam family: Bacterial small subunit ribosomal RNA
Source: RNAcentral
AUACGGAGGGUGCAAGCGUUACUCGGAAUCACUGGGCGUAAAGCGCGCGCAGGCGGUCUUUUAAGUUGGAUGUGAAAGCCUACAGCUCAACUGUAGAACUGCAUCCAAAACUAUUAGACUAGAGUCUGGGAGGGGAAGAUGGAAUUAGUUGUGUAGGGGUAAAAUCCGUAGAGAUAACUAGGAAUACCAAAAGCGAAGGCGAUCUUCUGGAACAGUACUGACGCUCAGGCACGAAAGCGUGGGGAGCAAACAGGAUUAGAAACCCCAGUAGUCC